UCACUUUCUGGCAGACACGGUGACGCACUGGGCAACUGUCGCCGAUAUCAAAAACCGCCACUGAUACCAAGUACGUUACCUUCUUGUCCUGCGCCAUCCACAACUUACUCACAUACUCAAGUAAUGUUACUCGAGUAUUACUAUUUGAGUUGUAUUAUACUUGAUUAGUUGGGAGAAGUAUCGAGACAAGUUCUGAAAAAUGCACCGACUUCCCAGAUAAACAGAUGUCACCAUUGGAAGUCACCAAGAAACUGCAGUAAUGAUAUUCACUUUAUUGCGGCGUUCUCCCUCUUGAGUCAUGUAGUAUCUCCAGUGAAACACUCCCUGAAGUUGAUUUUCAUUGAAUCAUCUGGAGUCCAAGACUUUGUGGGUGUCCUGUGGGCUGAUGAAACUGAGCUGGUGCACUGCAACACCAACCUUAACAAAGCAGAACCAAAACCAAACUGGCUUAAAGAAUUCAUGAAAAGCAAUCAAGAACACAACGACUUGUACACUCAAGAGUGUCUUCAUAGUCAACAUUUUUUAAAGACACAUUAAAUGUAUUGAGAAGGAGUUGCAGCCAAACUGAAGGUGUUCACACCCUUCAGAGAAUGUAUGGAUGUGAAUGGGACAAUGAGACUGAAGAGGUCAAAAGUUUUGAUCGAUAUGGUUAUGAUGGAGAAGACCUUAUGGAAUUUAACCAGGAGACACAGACAUGGCUCAUUUCAACUCCUUGUGCUAGCAUUGUCAAACACAAGUUAGACAAUCAGCAAAUUAGAAUAGCAGAUAUUAACCAUUACCUCACAAACGUGUGUUCUAAAUGGCUGAAACAGUAUCUGGACUAUGGAAAAUAUUUUCUACAACGAACAGACUGGCCCUCAGUGUCUCUCCUCCAGAAGACUCCCUCCUCUUCAGUCAGCUGCCACGCUACAGGUUUCUAUCCUGACCGAGCCGUCAUGUUCUGGAGGAAAGAUGGAAAAAAACUUUAUCAAUUCACGGACCGUGAACAGAUAUACCCUAAUCAGGACAGGACGUUCCAAAUUAAUGUAGUCCUAAAACUUUCAUCAGUCACAUCUGAGGACUGGUCAAGGUAUGACUGUGUGUUUCAGCUUUCUGCUGUCAAAGAAGACAUCAUCAUCAAACUGGACCAAAAAGUGAUCAAGAGCAACAGAGAUUAUUUAAUCUGUACAAGUCCCGAAGAGAACAAUGAUUAUUACCUUGAAGUUUUCGUGGGGUUUUUUUUUGUUCUGCUCAUCAUAGUCCUUGUUUUCAUCGUGUACAAGAUUACAGAGGACUUGGAGACUUUGAAGUACUCCCCCAUCGCUGCACUGGUUCUUGCUCUCAUCCUUUGUUGUUUAACUGGAGUUCACUUUUAUAAAACGAAUACUGAUUUCUCCAUAAUUCUUCGAUCUGAUUAUGCGUUGAAAUGGAGAGAGCCAUUACCUGGAAUACAAUGGGGACCCUGAAACAGGACUCUCUCUGUAUCGCCAGUUCUUUCCUCAGUGGCUCUCCUCCAGAAGACUCCUUCCUCUCCAGUGAGCUGCCACACUACAGUUUUCUAGCCGAACAGGGUCGUGAUGUUUUGGAGGAAAGAUGGAGAAGGAGAGAUCAUCACGAACCAUGACGGGACCUUCCAGACGAGUGUCGAUCUGAAUGUUUCAUCAGUCACAGCUGAAGACUGGAGGAGAUAAAACUGUGUUCCAGCUCUCUAAUGACAGCAUCAUCACCAAACCUGACAAAGGAAUGAUCAGAACAAACCGAGCUCUUCACGACACAACUGAAGGCAAAUGGACACUAUAGCCUGUAUGCCAAUAAUUAAUAGAUGCUGAGAUACAAACUGUGUACACUUCUUGUUAAACAACUUUCAUAGUUUAUUUGUCAAACUUACAUGUCGUGUUUGGAUAUUAUAUAUCUACUUUUUAGCUUUUUUAUGGACAUCUUAUCACCACUCACACAUCACAAACACAAUCUUCUAAUAUCUGUUUACGUCCCACCGUCAUCUUUGAAGAAGGAAACUGUAAAUGGUUAAAGAGUCAGCAUUCAUCUGUAAUGAGUCAUUCACAUGUGAACAAUGACUCAGUGGGGAUGUUUCCGUCGGCUGCCUCUGGCUUUAUUCCAGCUUUGCUACAUUUUUAAAACAGCAUCCAUUUGUUUUCUAUUGAACAACGACAUCUACAGAUUUUUUUGAAAUUUACUUCAAACGUGUAAUUUUCACUUUUGGACUUUUGGAGUCACUGUUUUCUGAUGUUUAGGUACACUGAAAUUUUAAACUUGCUGUGUGGAUUUCUUA
Molecule: RNA transcript, 2269 nt
Organism: Oreochromis aureus
Lineage: Eukaryota; Metazoa; Chordata; Actinopteri; Cichliformes; Cichlidae
Gene name: major histocompatibility complex class I-related gene protein-like
Exons: 10
Source: RefSeq, a predicted model, not a curated record